AUAUUUACCUGGAAAGGGAGAAACCAUGAUAGCAAAGCUGUUUCCCCAGAGUGAGGCUUAUUCACGGCAUUCUGGACAUUUGGAUCCCUGCAGUUUCCCAGAUACUUGACUGCAUAGUUUGUCGUGGGGAACUGUAUAUUUGUUCUCUUCCCUU
This 154-nucleotide small nuclear RNA is filed under the name Nannospalax galili (Upper Galilee mountains blind mole rat). RNAcentral's name for it is "U1 spliceosomal RNA (ENSNGAG00000003039.1)". It matches the Rfam family "U1 spliceosomal RNA". From Rfam's summary of the family: U1 is a small nuclear RNA (snRNA) component of the spliceosome (involved in pre-mRNA splicing). Its 5' end forms complementary base pairs with the 5' splice junction, thus defining the 5' donor site of an intron. The record is from RNAcentral. Lineage: Eukaryota; Metazoa; Chordata; Mammalia; Rodentia; Spalacidae.